CACCACCGGCGGACGGCUCAGUAACACGUCGGUAACCUACCCUCGGGAGGGGGAUAACCCCGGGAAACUGGGGCUAAUUCCCCAUAGGCCUGAGGUACUGGAAGGUCCUCAGGCCGAAAGGGACUUAUGUCCGCCCGAGGAUGGGCCGGCGGCCGAUUAGGUAGUUGGUGGGGUAAUGGCCCACCAAGCCGAAGAUCGGUACGGGCUGUGAGAGCAGGAGCCCGGAGAUGGACACUGAGACACGGGUCCAGGCCCUACGGGGCGCAGCAGGCGCGAAACCUCCGCAAUGCGGGAAACCGCGACGGGGGGACCCCGAGUGCCGUGGCAACGCCACGGCUUUUCCGGAGUGUAAGAAGCUCCGGGAAUAAGGGCUGGGCAAGGCCGGUGGCAGCCGCCGCGGUAAUACCGGCGGCCCGAGUGGUGGCCGCUAUUAUUGGGCCUAAAGCGUCCGUAGCCGGGCCCGUAAGUCCCUGGCGAAAUCCCACGGCUCAACCGUGGGGCUUGCUGGGGAUACUGCGGGUCUUGGGACCGGGAGAGGCGGGGGGUACCCCUGGGGUAGGGGUGAAAUCCUAUAAUCCCAGGGGGACCGCCAGUGGCGAA
Molecule: ribosomal RNA, 600 nt
Filed under: uncultured archaeon
Lineage: Archaea
Description: bacterial SSU rRNA
Rfam family: Archaeal small subunit ribosomal RNA
Source: RNAcentral